UAUAUAAUAAAAACGGAGAGAUGUGAACGCGGCGCGGUUUCGUUCGCUAGUUAUCCCGCGAGUACGGUAAUAUAUACAUGUAUUUUGAAGUCUUUUUUGGAUUUUCAACGUUUGCACACUUCAAUCGGAGACCCUCGAGCAGUCGGCUGAAUAACAAAAUUUCUGAGCACAUAUCGGCGUCUGUAACACCCCUCCAUGUUUGUCUGGAGGAACAGGGAGGACCAGAACUGGGCUCGUGUGACGCCUCGGCUCGCAAGUCACAGGUCAAGGGUAAUCAAGAAUAUUGGGAGGACAAGACAAAUUCAGUGGCAUCACGAACAACCGAGGCAGGAUCUACUACAAGUGGGUCCGGGGAGCUAAGACACAGCCAGCCAAGCAUGGCAAAUACCAUAAGCAACAUGAAAAUGACUAACCCCAUAAAGGGGCUUGUCAGUAAAAGGCGCAAACGCUUCACGGAAGAUGGCUUCAAUCUUGAUCUGUCAUAUAUACGGGAUAACUUGAUUGCCAUGGGUUUCCCGGCGGAAAAAUUGGAGGGCGUUUACAGGAAUCACAUAGACGAUGUCGUCAAAUUUUUAGAGUCCAAACACAAGGAUCAUUAUAAAAUUUAUAAUCUCUGUGCCGAGCGAACAUACGACUUCAAGAAAUUCAAGCAACGAGUUGCUAUCUAUCCGUUCGACGAUCACAAUCCACCGAAACUCGAAAUGUUGAGACCAUUUUGCGACGAUGUUCACGAGUGGUUGUCUCAGGACAGAAAAAACGUCGCAGUUGUACAUUGCAAGGCGGGUAAAGGAAGAACUGGUGUUAUGGUAUGCUGUUAUCUGUUACACAUUAAGCAAUUUCCAACAGCAACGGAGGCACUGAAUUUUUAUGGGACUAAGAGAACGCAUGAUAGGAAAGGGGUGACUAUACCUUCGCAGAGGAGGUACGUUGGUUAUUACGCGACUCUCGUUCAAGAGGGUCUUAACUACCAACCGGUUACUCUGGUCCUUCGACAAAUACAACUCGAUCCAGUUCCCAAUUUUAAUGGAGGUCAAGGCUGCUUUCAUUUUGUGAUAUCGGAAUCUAACAAGAAGGUAUUUAGUUCGAAAAUUUACGAUGUGAGAAAAGGAAUGUCAUCAAUGUGCAUUCCCCUGGAUCAAACUGUAGCUCUUACCGGUGAUAUCCGUGUAGAUUUUUUUAACCGGCCAAAGGUGAAGAGAAAAGAAAAAAUGUUUCACUUUUGGUUCAACACGUUCUUCGUGCGAGAACAUUUAACGCCCGAAUACGAGAAUGGUGAAAUACCGAUCGAAAGAUCGACGAGAGCAUUGAGCUGUGACGGUACGGCUAUGGAAUUGCCAAUGGUAACGUCGCAUGCGAAACCAAGAGCCGGCUCGUUAGCGAGCCUUGGGCCGAUGCCACCGGCUCUCGUUUUAAGCAUAGAUAAAUGGGGUUUGGAUGGUGCGCACAAGGACAAACAUCACAAGGACUACAGUGCGGAUUUUAAGGUUAGUUUGUUAAUGCAUCGAAUGGGUGGUGGAAUGACGCAGGCAGUGCCCGCGAGCGUACCGAGGUCAGGCGGUGUACAGAUAGGGAUGAGCGGGCAAGAAACGCCAAGCGAGUCCAGCGAAGCUGACAGUAGUGAGUGCGACACGACGGGUGACGAGGACGGUUGGGAAUCAGUGGACUUGGAUCAGCGUGUGGGCCGGUACCGCCUUCUCUCCGAUGGAGGGAUGAUAGAUGUUUUGUGAGAGACCCUCGUCGUCCAUCAUCUUCAUUCACCCUUGAGCCUCCGAUCGUAUCACUGAGAUUAACUGAGUCUUAAAGCUCUUACGAUCGUGCAUUGUCGCGUCGUUUCAUGUCUAUGUGAGCAAAGAAACAAAAACGAUCCCUUCGGAGCAUUAUUGUCCGAAUAAUUCGCUAACACCAUCGACGAUCAUCGAACUAUUUCCUGCCCAUUUUAUCGUGUCUUUGAAUCUCGAUUAUCAUCAUCAUCGUCAUUAUUCAGGGACUAAAAUCUUGUGGCUGAUUAUCGCGUUGCUAUAAUUCGAGACAUAGAAAAGAGAAUUUUUCAAUGAAUCAUCUGCAAAUUAUUAACAUUUUUCUUAAAAACACCAACGAUUAGAUGUGAACGUUCAUUUCGAUAUUUCGAGUUUCUGUGAUAGAAAAUUCGCUCUGUUUACAUUGAUGAGUUGAUGCUGAAUUUUGUAAAACUGCCUCCCACAUCGGGGAUUAACACAAGAAACGAUAAUAUUUUAGAAACUUUGUCUCGAGUGAAGAAGACGUUAAGUCGAUAUGAAAAUACUUUUUAUAAAAUUGCCCAUCAUUUUCUUCCCCGCUCGUUUUCAUCUAUCGAUGGAGUUUCGUUAGACGAUGAUCAAAGAUAAUGGUGACAAGCAAUAAAUUGAGAACCUCCGCAAUCUAUUUGUACUAACGAAUUCUUCAUUAACAAUUGCUCAGCGUGCACAUAUUUUAUGAUUUUUUUGCGUUAAAUGCGCGGUUUAUAUCCGGCCUUCGGUCAUUUUCAACUUCUUCAUUAUCAUUAUUUCAUACAUGUGGAGAAUAAUAUAGUAUUCGUCAGAAUGCAUAAGUUUGUAGAGCAAAUAAAAAAAAGUUUCUGCGCAGAGCUUUAAGGAUCGUAGGCACUUAGUGUCACCGCAUAUUUUGUCUCGAUGGGCUUUGGCAGAUUCCUCGUUUACAUUUAAAUUCAUUUCAAUACAACUUGUCAUUGAACAAAAUCUUUUUAUCAUUUUCAAUCAGUUUAUUUUGAAGGGAGACGAUUUAUAUCGUCACUUCCGCCCCGAUGAGGUGAUAAAUAUUGACAGAAUCUUUCGAUGAAAGUAAAAAAACAUGAAAUGUUUAAAAACACUAAAUCCUUCAAGUUCCAAUCUUCAUUUCUCUUAAGCACAACACCUUAAACCGCUCUCGACACGAAUAACCUGUUUUUCCAAUAGCAUUUUUGGGUUAUCGACGAAACCAAUUCAGACAUUCCCAUUUCCCAUGCGAUGCAGUUGGGCGAUCUGAGGCAAACGACGAGAUACGAAGAUGAGCGCAGAUUAGAAAUAGGAAAGGAGUGUCGGGAAGCGGCGAAUGAACGAGUCACGUAAUUGUAACGUAAGAAUGAAAGAAAAAACGAAAAAGGAGAAUCGUUGGAAGAACGAGGGAUGGAGAGGAUUUGUGAGGAGGCAAAAUGACGAUGAAGAAAAAUUAACGAUAUAUAAAAGCAAGACUAUUUUCAUAAGUGAUAAUUUAUAAGUCAAUAAUAUGCGUAACGAAAGAGAGAAUGAGAGUGCGAGGGAAUGUGAGCGUAAUUUGACAAUUAAACGUAAAAAAAUUGACAAAAAACAGAAAAGAAAAAUAACUAACCAUGAUUAUUUCUCGCGAUGGUUUUUCGACGCCCUGACCGUGGUCCAUGAUCACAUCUUAAUCGGUAUCACCUCAAAAGGCAAAUUCAAGCGACAGAAAAUAUACUGAGAAAUUUUGUAGUAUCGUCCAAUUGAUUGUUCAUAAGAUUUACGAAUAUAAAAAGCAAUCCGUGUCUGUGAAAAUGGCGUGUGUGUGUGUGUGUGUGUGCGUGCGAUGUGUGUCUGCGUAUGUGCGUAGGUCCGUUUUGUGAAUGAAAUUGAGACUCGACGUCGAGAGAAAAAGAGAUUUAUUGAAUUUGAAAACCUCAUCCGAAGGCGAACACGAAUUUUCGUUAUUGCCCAUCAACACUGUUUGAAUAAUUAUCUAACUCGAUUAACGACCAAUUAUCAUGCACGUGUCUGUGUAACGCAUAUGUAUGUAUAUAUAUAACUCAUAAUUUAUCUAUAUUUACAUAUGUGUUAGAAUUUACAAUAAGUAUUCGAACAGUACAAAGGCUUAACAUGAAUCAUUUGUUGUUCUGAGCAAGAAUAAUGGGUGAAACAGAACAUGAAAUAUUCUUUUAAGGAAGGAACAAAAGAUUACCACGCUCAAAAUUACACCCUCAGCGCUGAUGGACAUGCUCGUUGCUUGAAAAGUUGUUUAUCGCUCACGAUUUGCACUAGUUAUUUAUGCGUUUCUGAUUUUCUCACUCGUUUGUUUUGUGAUAAAAUGAAUAGAAGUUUUCAAUAAUUUCAUAAUAUUUCAAAAAUUUUUAAGAAAAAAAUCUUUAAUUAUGAUUAUCCGGGUAGACUCGAAAUAUACGUGGAAAAUAAGGAGAAACGUUGGGCUGUAAUUUUGAGCAUGUGUUAAUCUUCGCACUUGCCACUUACCGGUGCUAGCAUAAAUAUAUAUUUUUUUUUGCAAUAGAGCGGUCCUAUUGAGAAAAAAAAUAAGAUGAAACAAUAUGAGAAUGAGCCUUCUCACAUUCAACGAGUAUCAGUUAUACGAACGUUAAUACACCAUGAAGGAGCGUCGUACACACGCGUAUCUCUACACUCACUAAAAAUAAGGAAGGAACGAAGAAAGAAGAGAGAAAAGGAAAUGAAUACGUUAUGAAGGAACUCUUCCUUUGUGGCGAGGGGAUUUGGACCUCUUGUAGAAAUAAUGACAUUAGUUCUCGAGGAAUGAAUGUGAAAAUGCGAUUCGUGCGACGAUGUACUUUCGUGAUGUAUCAAAUUGGAAGCCAACCCUUGUGAUUAUUUCAUAUGCAAAAUUGAGAAAAUCCAAUCAAAAGUUGAAUCAAAAUAAAGGAAAUAAAAGUAGCAAGAGCCAAGCAUUUGCGGAGCAACAUUGAUCGUGUGAUUUAUCUUCUUUUUCAAAAAUUUCUCAUUUUUUUCACUAUAUUUUUAUGACGUGCGACAUCAUUUAUCACAAGGACGUCAGGAGGGUGUACAGUUGACAACUAAUGUCGUGACAAUAGUAAUAUUGAAGGUUAAAAAAAAAGAGCGAUCGAGCGAGCGAGAGAUCAAGAUUAUUUAUCUGUAUCCCGCUUGUAAGAUUAUCAUAAAAUAAUAAUCAGCGAAAUUUCAACGAGUCUCCAAAUAGAUGAUUGGAGAAACAGAAGAUAUUAAAUACGGGGAUAAUAGAUUUCAGUUUUUCCUUCACUUCUCAUCACAGGACGAACAACUAUUCUACAAUUUAUUGAAUAAAUUAUCGAAUUUGAAUUGAUUGUACAUAGGAAUUUUUGAACUGUAUUAGAGCCACAUUAAUCGCGAUGAGAAACCAACAUUUCCCAGUCGAUCGAACGGGACACGAUUCGCUUUCUGUAACUCUUUGUUCAUGGUACAUUUAUAAAUAUAUAUACAUAUAUAUGUAUAUAUACAUAUACAUGUAUAAUAUAAAAAAACACGAAACAAAAAUAAUAUGACACGAAGGAAAGUUAGAAAAUAAAAGGAAAAUCGAAGGUUAAUUUAAAUAUACGUUUAUUUCGAGCGAAUUUCAUACUUUCACCUUUUGUCUUUCAUGCACUCCUGGAAUCGGCCAAUAAUAUUUCCAUACGGUACUUUUGUGGGAAUCCACGUAUUUGUGACUUUGAGACAUGACUGAUGGCGGGCCAAUCAGAGCUAAACUCCUCACAGACGAUCAACUCCCGACUGCAACACAACGCUUGAUUACCAAUUGAUCAAUCGCAAAUACAUCAAUCAUCGCAUCUCCCGCCUGCCAUCCGCUAAGCAUGAUAUAAUCGAUUCGAUAGGACAACGCAUUCGGAUAUUCGGAUCGUCAUGAUAAAUGGUGUUAUUUUAGUGGGAUUCGAGAGACGUGCUUGAAUCGGGGAGAAACUUGAUUUAAAUUUCGUUUUAAACUAUGAAUCAAUCUAGUUUUUUUUGAUAUAAUCAAUAAAAAAUUCCAAAGAUUCGUGAUUUCGAAAGAAUAGAAUUAUUGAAAAACACUCUCGGUGAUGUGUAGCAGAUUUAAAAAAUGUUCAAAUCAGUAUAUUCAUUCGCUUUACUUUUCUGUGAUUUCUCAUUUUCAAACACGUCCCUCGGGACUCUAAUUCAUUAAAUCUUAGUUUAAUUUCCGGCGAUGAAGGAUCCGGGCGUAGAUGAAGGAUCUGAGAUGAGUUUAUCAGGACAAAACUAUCAACUUGCACAACAAUGUUAAAACUUGAUGAGAUUUAAUCUAUAAGUAGUGUUUUUGUGUGCUGAAACGUGACGAUUAAGAAUAUCAUGUUGAAGGCCACUGUGAUUAAAAACGUCUUGACGUUAGUUAAUUAGGGACAUUCUUUAUUUAUUUAUUUAGCAAGAUGAGGGUUAAUCGGAACAGUAAUGAGCCCGUAUUUCUCGAUGUUUAUUAUUAUUGUUUACUAGACUUCUUGAUAAACUGCGAUUAUGAGCGAGCAAUUGACCUUUUUUUACGAUUCAACAUCUCCCCGGCACAUUCGAUUGAAUUUGUUUUUUGUUUGUUCGUUUGCGAAUAUGUAACCGUUGCAAGCAGAUUGGCGGAUGGAAAACAAUGCUAACGUUACGAAUCACGAUUACGAUUCGCCAGCCUUUUCAUCGAUCGACUAAAUUUUGUUUUGGCCUCUGGUCUUGGCCCCCGAGUACUAAAACUGUGAAUAGAAAUUUUUAAAACUCUUGACCCCAACCUGUCGUCAUUUUUGUACAUUUUCUGUUACUCUUUUCUCUCUUCGAUCCUGAUGCGGUGAAACCGCUUUGUUACAAUAAUCAUCGAGCGAAAGUAGUCCCGGUACCGAAGCAGAUUCAACCAAUGAGAAAAGUUUAAAUGCCUUUCGAGGAAAUAUAUCGAUAUGACGUACGACGUAUUUUUAAAAGAAUCAUUUCGCAUUCAACCUAUAGAGUACAAAGAUGUUGACUUGAUCUCAAAUAGGAUAAAAAGAUAAAGAUGAAAAAGAAAAAACGGUUUAGUAAGUUGAGUCUCCGCGAAAAGAAUUUAGCAUAAAUUCAUUAGCUUGAAAUGACUUUUUUCACGUCUUGCAACAGAAACAACGAAUGAGAUCAACCAUGAAAAGUGCACAAUUGAGCUGCGUGGAUUUGUUCACACUGUAAGCGUGACCAAUUUUACUUUAACUCUAUUUGGCAUUGUAAAGCGCAAAUUGACGUACGCAAAAGAAAAAAGAAGAAAACACGACACGUUGCUAGAUUCGAAAGUACUAUGUUUUCUUAGUACGGCUCCUUUUUCCACAUCACGAUCUAAUUGAUUGAAGUUUUAAUUUAUUUAUUACAGUUAAAUAUAGAUGCAAGUUUUAAAAUAUAUCUAAUCGUUUUUACAAUCGGAAGGUACGAGCAAUAAACAGUGUAAAACGAGUAAAAAUACGCAUAAAAAAAGUUUAUUAAAUUUACAGCCUACAAUUCAUCGGGGUUUAUAUUUGUUUGAUAACGUUUCGGCGUGGCAAUGUCAAAUAGUAUACAAAAAUGUUUUUUUUUUUUUUUUAAAUCUUUAUUAACAGCAACUUGCGCUUUGCUGCCUUGAUAGAAGGUCAGGCUUGAUGAGAGCAACGAAAGCAAUCGAUGUCUAGCACCAUUGCGUCGAAAUGUUAUUUUCACUUAUUUCUUAGAUUCUUCAAAUCGAAUUGCUGCUUAAACCGAAAAGAUUAUUCAACUUUUUCUCAAUAUCAAUAGCGAACAAGCCUAAUCCAAAUGGAUCGACUCGUUUCACAGAAUCGAUGAUCUUUGAUUACCCUUAGGGGAGUGUAGGACGAUGAGAGUGCGAUAAAAUCGUUGCUUGUACGGUGAGAACCGUUGUUUAUUGGCUAUGUGAUCUUAACUUUAUAAUUUAACGUAGAAUUUAGUAGGCUCGAUAGAUAGGGACAGCAAUCAUAAAUUUAUACUCCUCUUGUAACUCUCAUAGCGUUUUUUCUUCUCUUCUUUUUCUUUUGUGUCGAACUAUUUUAUAUCCGGGAUACAGUAUUGUCAUGAAAACAUUUGAAAUUGUGAUCGAGGAGGAUACGACGAAAGUUUUUGUACGUGCGUGAGUUUGCGACAAUGAAAAGAAAAAGGAGGAAAAAUUGAUUGUAAUUUGUUUUCGUUGACGACGAUGAGAGAGUCGUCGAUAAAAUGUUUGAGUCAAUUACAAGUGUGCGUGCUUCGACGAUCGUCGAGACACGAAUUGAGAGGAAAUUGCGAUGAAAAAUCAUCUGGAAUUAUUGUAAAUCAAUGGAAAAAAUUCUACGUCAAAGUU
Molecule: unclassified non-coding RNA, 8019 nt
Filed under: Venturia canescens
Lineage: Eukaryota; Metazoa; Arthropoda; Insecta; Hymenoptera; Ichneumonidae
Description: phosphatidylinositol 3,4,5-trisphosphate 3- phosphatase and dual-specificity protein phosphatase PTEN, transcript variant X3
Source: RNAcentral